RNAcentral lists this transfer RNA (73 nucleotides) under Felis catus (domestic cat). It matches the Rfam family "tRNA". From Rfam's summary of the family: Transfer RNA (tRNA) molecules are approximately 80 nucleotides in length. Their secondary structure includes four short double-helical elements and three loops (D, anti-codon, and T loops). The record is from Rfam by way of RNAcentral. RNAcentral also lists the same sequence under 2 other names. Lineage: Eukaryota; Metazoa; Chordata; Mammalia; Carnivora; Felidae.
GCCUGGAUGGCUCAGUAGGUAGAGCACGAGACUCCUAAUCUCAGGGAUGGGAGUUCAAGCCCCACACUGGUCA